GUGAAUCAUCAAAUUUUUGAACGCAUAUUGCACUCCCCGGCAUUCCGGGGAGUAUGCCUGUUUCAGCAUCAGAAUCAUCCUCGAGCCCACGAGACGGACUCCUAUCUCGUAUGCCGUCUUCUGCUUGAAAAAAAAAAGGUUUAAGCGACUUAAAAUUUUCCUUUUGAUUCCAUGAACGUUUCUAAGAUUUAUUUCUUUACACGUUUAAGGUAUCGAUUUUUAUUAGACGUGGCCGUCAUAUCGGAUCGCGUCCAUAAUUUUUCGCUAACUGACCUCAGCCAGGUAAGAGUACCCGCUGAA
Molecule: unclassified non-coding RNA, 300 nt
Filed under: Glomeraceae sp.
Lineage: Eukaryota; Fungi; Glomeromycota; Glomeromycetes; Glomerales; Glomeraceae
Description: partial contains 5.8S ribosomal RNA and internal transcribed spacer 2
Rfam family: 5.8S ribosomal RNA (bases 1-71)
Source: RNAcentral